This is a long non-coding RNA of Drosophila albomicans, 504 nucleotides long. RefSeq lists it as uncharacterized. The transcript is spliced from 2 exons. Lineage: Eukaryota; Metazoa; Arthropoda; Insecta; Diptera; Drosophilidae. The record is from RefSeq and is a predicted model, not a curated record.
UUAAUUUCACCUCGAUAAAUUAUCACAUGGCUGAAAAACACAUAAAAGAUUUAUGGCACAUAUUUUCACAUAUGCGCAUACGGAUCUUAUUAAAUAUAAAAGUAAUCUGAAAAAUAUAGAGAAAUAUGAAGUUUUGAUGUUGCACGGUUUGUACUUCUUUUCAAUCGAUAAGAAAAUCGAAAAAUCGAUGUUUUCCAUCAAUUCAUGGAUGAUGGAAAAUCCAAGUUAUACGUGCUGCUAACUUGUAGUCUUAUCACUUUGUGGCAAGGCUGUUGUAAACAAGUCUGGUAGCUCAAUGCAAGGAACAGUGAAUGCUCACCAACUCAAUACGACUCGGUUGCCAGCCGGAUACAUCAUUAUGAAAUCAUAAUAUAGUAUAUUUAAGCUCAGUAUAGUGACAUACAUAAAUACGUGAAAAUGACACGUUGCGCAUCUCUAAACUGAGUCAAUCAUACAAUAUGACAAAUCCUUGCACAGCACAUCAAUAAAUUGUGAUUGCAUGUA